UAUUAAAAACAUGGCCUUUUGAUAAUAAUUUAAGGUCUGACCUGCCCUAUGAUUUUAUAUUAAAUGGCUGCGGUAAUUUGACCGUGCAAAGGUAGCAUAAUCAUUAGUUUUUUAAUUGAGAGCUGGAAUGAAAGGUUUGAUGAGAAAAUAACUGUCUCUGUUUAAAUUAAUUAGAAUUUUAUUUUUAAGUAAAAAAGCUUAAAUAUAUUUAGAAGACGAGAAGACCCUAUAGAGUUUUAUAUCUUUUUAUUAUGGAGGUGAUUUAGUAUCGGAGAGGUUUUAUAAUAGGAAGGUAUUUAGUUGGGGUGAUUGAAAAAUUAAAUAAACUUUUUUUUUAUUAUUACAUUGAUUUAUGAGUAAUUGAUCCUUAGUUUAAGAUUAUAAGAUAAAAUUACCUUAGGGAUAACAGCGUAAUUCUUUUUGAGAGUUCAAAUCGAAAGGAGAGAUUGCGACCUCGAUGUUGGAUUAAAGUUUACUUUUGGUGUAGGAGCUAAAAUGAUUGGGUCUGUUCGACCCUUAAAACUUUACAUGAUCUGAGUUUAGACCGGCGUGAGCCAGGU
Molecule: ribosomal RNA, 560 nt
Filed under: Alcidodes sp. ARC2603
Lineage: Eukaryota; Metazoa; Arthropoda; Insecta; Coleoptera; Curculionidae
Description: partial 16S ribosomal RNA
Rfam family: Bacterial large subunit ribosomal RNA
Source: RNAcentral